Rana temporaria (common frog) is the source of this 453-nucleotide long non-coding RNA. RefSeq lists it as uncharacterized. NCBI's taxonomy places the organism in Eukaryota, Metazoa, Chordata, Amphibia, Anura, Ranidae. The record is from RefSeq and is a predicted model, not a curated record. The transcript has 3 exons.
CUCCCUGGGCGCAGUUCACGCUACCCUCUAGUCCGUGCAUUACCAUGCAUCUGUCAUCCUCAUGGAUACCCUCCCUAGAUGACCUAAUACUGGACUCGCCAGUAUUCUUGGACCUGUGUACCUAUGCGCCCCUGGUAAUUCCCCACGGUGCUGCCUUAUCCACGUCCUCUGUCCGGCAGAUCUGGGGCCAUUACACCAGCACUUUAUUCCACCUGGCCUGGUUGUAUUCCUCACAAUUUUCUAUCGUGACCUUUACGAUCAACUAUCCCCUUGCCCGUCAAGGGGGGACCCCCCGUAGGCCGCCUGGUUCCGCGCAUUAUCAAUUGACUCAUUCGAUUGGCUGUCCUGACGAAGCGGAAACCCCGCGAAACUAGUCGACGUUGACCAAUCAAUGAACUGUACAAUUAUUUGUUUUGCAAUUUUAAUUAAUCAAUAAACUUUUUUAUAUCAUUA